Molecule: ribosomal RNA, 791 nt
Filed under: uncultured Clostridia bacterium
Lineage: Bacteria; Bacillati; Bacillota; Clostridia
Description: bacterial SSU rRNA
Rfam family: Bacterial small subunit ribosomal RNA
Source: RNAcentral
AUGAACUUAAGUGGAUUACGUGGCGCACACGGGUGAGUAACACGUGAGUAACCUGCCUUACACAAGGGGAUAGCCUCUGGAAACGGAGAAUAAUACCCUAUAAAGUCUAAUCAGCCCAUGCUGGAAAGACCAAAGAUUUAUCGGUCGUAAGAUGGACUUGCGUCUGAUUAGCUAGUUGGUGAGAUAAAAGCCCACCAAGGCAACGAUCAGUAGCCGGCUUGAGCAGAGUGUACGGCCACAUUGGGACUGAGACACGGCCCAAACUCCUACGGGAGGCAGCAGUGGGGAAUUUUGCACAAUGGGGGAAACCCUGAUGCAGCGACGCCGCGUGAUUUAGAAGGCCUUCGGGUUGUAAAAAUCUUUUUUAUGGGAUGAAAAUGACAGUACCAUAAGAAUAAGGUCCGGCUAAAUACGUGCCAGCAGCCGCGGUAAUACGUAUGGACCGAGCGUUGUCCGGAAUCAUUGGGCGUAAAGGGUACGUAGGCGGCCUAGUAAGUUAGAAGUGAAAUAAUAUAGCUCAACUAUAUAAAGCGUUUUAAAACUGUUAGGCUUGAGAGAUGAAAGGGAAAGUGGAAUUCCUAGUGUACGGUGAAAUGCGCAGAUAUUAGGAAGAAUACCAGUGGCGAAGGCGACUUUCUGGUCAUCCUCUGACGCUGAGGUACGAAAGCGUGAGUAGUAAACAGGAUUAGAUACCCUGGUAGUCCACGCUGUAAACGAUGAGUGUUAGGUUCUUGGAAUAUCUGGGAGCCGCAGCUAACGCAUUAAACACUCCCCUGGGGAGUACGCACGCA